This 86-nucleotide microRNA precursor is filed under the name Pelobates cultripes (western spadefoot toad). Lineage: Eukaryota; Metazoa; Chordata; Amphibia; Anura; Pelobatidae. The record is from RNAcentral.
CGCGGUUCCCAUGAUUCCCAGCAUCUACACAUCAUAGAGUAAUCACUACUCUAUGAUGUGUAGAUGUUGGGAAUUAUGGGAACCGU